Molecule: ribosomal RNA, 443 nt
Filed under: uncultured bacterium
Lineage: Bacteria
Description: partial 16S ribosomal RNA
Rfam family: Bacterial small subunit ribosomal RNA
Source: RNAcentral
ACUACGGGCGGCAGCAGUGGGGAAUAUUGGGCAAUGGGCGCAAGCCUGACCCAGCAACGCCGCGUGAAGGAAGAAGGCUUUCGGGUUGUAAACUUCUUUUAUCAGGGACGAAGCAAGUGACGGUAACUGAUGAAUAAGCCACGGCUAACUACGGGCCAGCAGCCGCGGUAAUACGUAGGAGGCAAGCGUUAUCCGGAUUUACUGGGUGUAAAGGGGGGGGAGGCGGGAGUGCAAGUCAGAUGUGAUAACUAUGGGCUCAACCCAUAGCCUGCAUUUGCAACUGUACUUCUUGAGGGCUGGAGCGGCAAUCGGACUUCCGUUUGUAGCCGUGAAAUGCGUAGAUAUACGGAGGAACACCAGUGGCGAAGGCAUCUCACGAAUCCGCGAUUGACGCUGAUGCACGAAAGCGUGGGUAUCAAACAGGAUUAGAUACCCUUGUAGUC